This 202-nucleotide ribosomal RNA is filed under the name uncultured bacterium. Its description in RNAcentral is "partial 16S ribosomal RNA". It matches the Rfam family "Bacterial small subunit ribosomal RNA", at positions 328 to 545 of the family's 1533-position model. The record is from RNAcentral.
ACGCUCGACACCUACUGGAGGCAGCAGUGGGGAAUAUUGCACAAUGGGGGAAACCCUGAUGCAGCGACGCCGCGUGAGCGAAGAAGUAUCUCGGUAUGUAAAGCUCUAUCAGCAGGGAAGAAGAUGACGGUACCUGACUAAGAAGCACCGGCUAAAUACGUGCCAGCAGCCGCGGUAAUCUGAGGCGGGCGUGGACGAAGGC